This 434-nucleotide ribosomal RNA is filed under the name uncultured bacterium. RNAcentral describes it as "bacterial SSU rRNA". It matches the Rfam family "Bacterial small subunit ribosomal RNA", at positions 608 to 1042 of the family's 1533-position model. The record is from RNAcentral.
CUAAACUGAGGAAAGUCGGCCGAAACUGAUCGACUCGAGGAACGUAGAGGGAAGCGGAACUCUCGGAGUAGCGGUGAAAUGCGUAGAGACCGAGAGGUACCCCGAUGGUGAAGACAGCUUCCUGGGCGUUUCCUGACGCUGAAGCGCUAAGGCCAGGGGAGCGAAGGGGAUUAGAUACCCCCGUAGUCCUGGCUUCAAACGAUGUGGGCUUGGUGUCGGCUCCCGACAGAGAGUCGUUGCCGGAGCUAACGUGUUAAGCCCACCGCCUGGGGAUUACGUCCGCAGGGAUGAAACUCAAGGGAAUUGACGGGGGCCCACACAACCGGUGGAGCACGUGGUUUAAUUCGAUGAUAAGCGAAGAACCUUACCAGGGCUUGACCUAGCGGUGGUAGGAUCCUGAAAGGGAAACGACCUCAAGCUUUGCUUGAGGAGCC